This 497-nucleotide ribosomal RNA is filed under the name uncultured bacterium. RNAcentral describes it as "partial 16S ribosomal RNA". It matches the Rfam family "Bacterial small subunit ribosomal RNA", at positions 28 to 507 of the family's 1533-position model. The record is from RNAcentral.
GAUGAACGCUGGCGGCGUGCCUAAUACAUGCAAGUCGAGCGAACAGACGAGGAGCUUGCUCCUCUCACGUUAGCGGCGGACGUGUGUGUAACACGUGGAUAACCUACCUAUAAGACUGGGAUCACUUCGGGAAACCGGAUCUAAUACCGUAUAAUAUAUUGCACCGCAUUGUGCAAUAGUGAAAGACGGUUUUGCUGUAACUUAUAGAUGGUUACGCGCCGCAUUAGCUAGUUGGUAAGGUAACGGCUUACCAAGGCAACGAGGCGUAGCCGACCUGAGAGGGUGAUCGGCCACACUGGAGCUGAGACACGGUCCAGACUCCUACGGGAGGCAGCAGUAGGGAAUCUUACGCAAUGGGCGAAAGCCUGACGGAGCAACGCCGCGUGAGUGAUGAAGGUCUUCGGAGCGUAAAACUCUGUUAUUAGGGAUGAACAAAUGUGGAAGUAGCUAUGCACGUCGUGACGGUACCUAAUCAGAAAGCCACGGCUAACUACGUG